Molecule: long non-coding RNA, 1364 nt
Organism: Aptenodytes forsteri (emperor penguin)
Lineage: Eukaryota; Metazoa; Chordata; Aves; Sphenisciformes; Spheniscidae
Exons: 4
Source: RefSeq, a predicted model, not a curated record
CAACUCAGAAGCAUCAGCUCACCACAAGCAUCCCAGCGGGGUAGGACCCAAGUCACGGAGGUCUGUUUUUAGCCCUGGAUGAGCCCCAGGCAGGAGGAACAAGCAAGCACUGCAAAUCAGAGGUGUACCAAGUUCAUGCAGCAAAUGAGGCAGAUCUACCCUGGUGUGCUUUCUUCUUGGUGGAUCUAUGCUGCAGGUCCUUAUGGCACGGAAGGAGAAAUCUCGGUCUCUACCUGCACUGCUUCACGAGGUCUAUGAAGAUCUUCAUUAGAUGGAGGAAUUAGGAGUAUAUACUGCUUCUGCCAAAAUAAUUUCAAAGCACCUUGCUGUUAUAUUAUACAGACAUUACAAGCAGCUCCCUGAGGAAAAUGUAACACAAUCUCCACGGUGCCACAAGGCUUCAGGUCAUGUCACAGGCACUGGGGUGGAGAAGUUUGUGAAGUACUAUCUUCAAAUCAAGCCUUCAUCAAGAGACACAGCCAGGAAGAACAAGUAGCCCAGUCCACUGUCCAACAGAACCUACCACCAGGCAAAAACCAGAAAUGGAGGAAGAUCUGAGGCAAGGAAAGCGCUCCUCCAGGCCAAGCAGGCUGCAUCAGGUCAGCAAAAGCACGCUUAUGUGACAGAAGACUCACCACAAGUGUGCCAACAAUGCUGUCAUCAAAAUCAUCUCCUACCAACUUGCUUUGCAAAAGCGACACAAAUUUUUAAGUGCAGUUUCAGCCUGAAUAAACAUAAACCAGGCUCUGUACCCACUAUAUAACUAAGCCAUGGGAACAAAACCUGCCAGCAACAGGAUCAGUGCAUAAAGUAGCUACUUUGGCAAUUACUCUGAACUGAGUGAUCCUACAGAGGAAACAGUUGUAGAUACAUUAACACCCGAGUCUCAAAGGUUGAAAAGUAGUCCCCCUCAGAAAGUACUGACCGUGACCUGCAGUACCAGAGACAGACAGGUCCUAGCUCCAAAAGCAGAGUCUAUCUCCAGAACGUCUCUUCCUAUCUCCAGGAAUGGAAGAGACAGAACACAGCAUUCAUCUUUGAGAUACAAUACUGGAAUCAAGAAGCAAACCACCAUGAAAAAGCAAGUGAGGUUUGUGAGAAAAAGUCUGAAAUAAGCAAAGAUGCUAUAAUAAAACCCUUCCUUUAAAAAUAAGCUAUCCACUGGCAGCCUUUACAAAUAGUUACACACAGAUCAUCUGCUCAUCUCCACAAAAACACUGGUUUCACACAGGACCCCUGACUUGUCCUGAUGAUUUUUCUUUUCAAAAAAACUGUAAGAGUAUCUUGUUUGAGAGAGCUGCCCCUGCAGAGAGAAGCAAGACCCAGUCUUGAUGAAAUCUAUACUCAGGCCACAAAACCAGCUA